UACGUAGGGUGCAAGCGUUAAUCGGAAUUACUGGGCGUAAAGCGUGCGCAGGCGGCUUUGCAAGACAGAUGUGAAAUCCCCGGGCUUAACCUGGGAACUGCAUUUGUGACUGCAAGGCUAGAGUGCGGCAGAGGGGGGUAGAAUUCCACGUGUAGCAGUGAAAUGCGUAGAGAUGUGGAGGAAUACCGAUGGCGAAGGCAGCCCCCUGGAAUAACACUGACGCUCAUGCACGAAAGCGUGGGGAGCAAACAGG
This 253-nucleotide ribosomal RNA is filed under the name uncultured bacterium. Its description in RNAcentral is "partial 16S ribosomal RNA". It matches the Rfam family "Bacterial small subunit ribosomal RNA", at positions 524 to 776 of the family's 1533-position model. The record is from RNAcentral.